RNAcentral lists this long non-coding RNA (552 nucleotides) under Haliotis rubra (blacklip abalone). RNAcentral's name for it is "uncharacterized LOC124275026, transcript variant X2". The record is from RNAcentral. Lineage: Eukaryota; Metazoa; Mollusca; Gastropoda; Lepetellida; Haliotidae.
UUCAGGUUGUGCUGCCAAAUAUAAUGCACCAGUAACACUACUGGCGACACAUUACCAAGUACGGAUAUUAUAAUUUCACUUGUGAACAGGAAUUAAGACCUUCUGGUUUACUGCAAGCUAAAUAAUGUUUUCAGAUCCAUAUGACAAAGGCGAGCCUCCAAUCGUUAUAAACAACCCGUUAACCAACCCAAACGACGUUUCUGUUGAUUGCUGGAGUGGGUGCCCUGGUAUGACCACUGAUUCCACUCACAGACUGUACGAAGAAACAUUGGUCAAGCUAAAUAUAUAAGAACGAUGGUUCGGGCGAUGUCGGCACAGUUAAACUGAUAGAUCAGCUCUCCUGUCUAAUCAGCGGACUGCUUGAAGUGGAAUACGUUACCUCUAGGCGAGGUACACAACAGGUACUGUUUCCAGGUCACCUUGACAACAAGAAUUCUACAAAGGAACACUGCAUCCACUGGAAGUGUGUUGUGAAGACUUAUUAAAGUUCACUUAUGUGAAGCUGUAUUAUUGUUUCUUGGAUCAUUCCACUUUAUUUUUACCAAGGUAUCA